UACGUCGGCAAGGCCUCGAACCCGGGUCAACUGUUUGUGAAAGAGCUAUUCUGACCGUUGAACUACCGGCGC
Non-coding RNA from Araneus ventricosus, 72 nucleotides. The record is from the annotation of a GenBank genome assembly. NCBI's taxonomy places the organism in Eukaryota, Metazoa, Arthropoda, Arachnida, Araneae, Araneidae.